This 497-nucleotide ribosomal RNA is filed under the name uncultured bacterium. RNAcentral's name for it is "partial 16S ribosomal RNA". It matches the Rfam family "Bacterial small subunit ribosomal RNA", at positions 28 to 507 of the family's 1533-position model. The record is from RNAcentral.
GAUGAACGCUGGCGGCGUGCCUAAUACAUGCAAGUCGAGCGAACGGACGAGAAGCUUGCUUCUCUGAUGUUAGCGGCGGACGGGUGAGUAACACGUGGAUAACCUACCUAUAAGACUGGGAUAACUUCGGGAAACCGUAGCUAAUACCGGAUAAUAUUUUGAACCGAAUGGUUCAAAAGUGAAAGACGGUCUUGCUGUCACUUAUAGAUGGAUCCGCGCUGCACUAGCUAGUUGGUAAGGUAACGGCUUACCAAGGCAACGAUGCAUAGCCGACCUGAGAGGGUGAUCGGCCACACUGGAACUGAGACACGGUCCAGACUCCUACGGGAGGCAGCAGUAGGGAAUCUUCCGCAAUGGGCGAAAGCCUGACGGAGCAACGCCGCGUGAGUGAUGAAGGUCUUCGGAUCGUAAAACUCUGUUAUUAGGGAAGAACAUAUGUGUAAGUAACUGUGCACAUCUUGACGGUACCUAAUCAGAAAGCCACGGCUAACUACGUG